This 253-nucleotide ribosomal RNA is filed under the name uncultured bacterium. Its description in RNAcentral is "partial 16S ribosomal RNA". It matches the Rfam family "Bacterial small subunit ribosomal RNA", at positions 524 to 776 of the family's 1533-position model. The record is from RNAcentral.
GACGAACCGUCCGAACGUUAUUCGGAAUCACUGGGCUUAAAGGGUGCGUAGGCGGCGCGGAAAGUUGGGUGUGAAAUCCCUCGGCUCAACCGAGGAACUGCGCCCAAAACUACCGUGCUCGAGGAAGAUAGAGGUGAGCGGAACUUAGGGUGGAGCGGUGAAAUGCGUUGAUAUCCUAAGGAACACCGGUGGCGAAAGCGGCUCACUGGAUCUUUUCUGACGCUGAGGCACGAAAGCGUGGGGAGCGAACAGG